RNAcentral lists this ribosomal RNA (253 nucleotides) under uncultured bacterium. Its description in RNAcentral is "partial 16S ribosomal RNA". It matches the Rfam family "Bacterial small subunit ribosomal RNA", at positions 524 to 776 of the family's 1533-position model. The record is from RNAcentral.
GACGUAGGGCGCGAGCGUUGUCCGGAUUUAUUGGGCGUAAAGAGCUCGUAGGUGGCUUGUCGCGUCGAAUGUGAAAACUCGGGGCUCAACUCCGAGCUUGCAUUCGAUACGGGCAGGCUAGAGUUCGGUAGGGGAGACUGGAAUUCCUGGUGUAGCGGUGAAAUGCGCAGAUAUCAGGAGGAACACCGGUGGCGAAGGCGGGAUCCUGGGCCAGUACUGACGCUGAGGAGCGAAAGCGUGGGGAGCAAACAGG